GGAAAUUGAUGGUCAAGUGAAUAGUAGCAGUUAUCUCAAUCAACGCUUCACUUUAGGCUGAAAAGGAACUUUAAAAAGAUGAUUAUAAAGGACACAUAUUUCUCAAGAGUAUCCAGCACUGUUGCCCACAAAC
This 133-nucleotide long non-coding RNA is filed under the name Mustela putorius furo (domestic ferret). Its description in RNAcentral is "lncRNA (ENSMPUG00000024814.1)". Lineage: Eukaryota; Metazoa; Chordata; Mammalia; Carnivora; Mustelidae. The record is from RNAcentral.